Molecule: long non-coding RNA, 2117 nt
Organism: Micropterus dolomieu (smallmouth bass)
Lineage: Eukaryota; Metazoa; Chordata; Actinopteri; Centrarchiformes; Centrarchidae
Exons: 5
Source: RefSeq, a predicted model, not a curated record
AAUUUAUGAUUCUAUUUUUGCAGACUGAUCUGGUGCUGGAGAAGUUACAUCACCUUUUGACAUUGUUCGCAUUUUUCCAGCUGUGAAAAGCUCCUCCCUUUCCUCUUUUUGGAGUACAGGCUGGUGUGAUGCCUGUGUUUUACACAGUGGUUUUACACUCAUGUCUAAAAGUGAACAUGGUGAUGAUUUAUUGGUGUCAUAAAACACCUUUUUGCAACUUUGAGUUCUGUGGGUUAUGGCUCAUACUUAAAUUAUGACUGAAGCUGCUCUCAGUUUGGGGAAUAAUAUGUGAGAAAAUAUGUGAUUGUUCCCCCUGAGUUCAGUCCAAGAGAUCCAAUCAAAUCGCUUUCUGUGACCGACUGACAUUUUCCCAAAAUGGCGAUGCCCGCCCACCAGGCCCUCCACCCUGGCUAAAAGUGAGCGCUCAAAGUGUUUUAAAAUUGCAGUUUGACCCCAGCAUAGAGGAGGUCCACACACACCGAGUUUAAUCCUACUCCAUAUCUCUUUUGGCAUAGUUAGAAUUCAGAAGUGCUCAGCUCUAACUGGAAGGCCCUUCUGAUUAGAGAAAACCCACAAUGCCCUCUGUUGUUGUUGUGAACUUUUGACAGCGUGGGCCGGGCCUCGACAGCGGCGAGCUGCACAGAGGAGUCGGCAGUGGGGCGGAAUAUUUGACAUUUCUCCGUGAUGACAGGCUUGUUACUACUCUUGUUUCGUACUGUAUGUAUCCUCUCUGUGUGGACCCACGUCUCCCGUGGCAACACAAAAUUUGAUUUGGAUGACAAAUACUUUCCAGCUCUGGAGUAUGGACUGUUUUGGCAAACCCCACCCAGCUUGUACUCAAAUUGAGUCCUGAGCAUUCAUUUUCAAGGACUGUGACUACACUGGGCGCUAAUGUAUUCUUCAUGGUGAACAUGGUUAGGAUGAAGGAUCAGAAGCUCUUUUCUGUGCACAGAGGCCAUGCUGAGGAGAGGUGUAUUUGUUAGAGCUCCUGUCAAAGGAGAGAAUAAACCCCCAGUUGGCAUGAGGUCAGUGGGUCUCAUCUACUUCAACGUCACAAAGACUGAAGAUGAAAUGCUUUGUAAGGUUUUUUAAUCUUCUUUCCUCAUCGCUGAUGUUCACAAACACAGGCUGCUCUGCCUCUGCUCUGCAGCACUGUGUUUGGGGACCCCAUGAAGAAUAGGGGAUCUGAAAGCACUAAAGGCAACAGCGCAGUCAGACUUUCUCUACGUGGAUUUUUACAGAUGGUCAACUUUCAUGGAUGUAAACCCAUUUUAAUUGAAAGCACAGUCAUCUCAAAUCAUCCGAUCACGGUUUCUUCUAAUGUAUAGUCUUUUCUUCUGUCCAAUAUGUCUCUAGUUGUCAAAAUGUUUUGUCAUAAACUUGUUAAAAGUCAGUGAGAAAAAUCCACUUGGCUAUUAAUACUGCUUACUUUGUUGACAAUAACCUUUUUUGAUGAAACUGUAAUGAUGCUAUUUGUCUUAAAUGUUGCAGACCCCCCCCCCCCCCCCCCCCCAUGUUUCAAUGCAGCUUUUCCCCUCCAGCAAAUGUGAUUUGCUGUAAUUACAAUACCCCCUGUCUGAGGCACCUGUGCAGGAACUCCUGCCAAUACAAAUUCACCUUGUUUUUCUCAUCUGCUACAAGUCUGCUAAUUCACCCAGAGGAGUCGAGUGAAGUGCACACAGCCACUCUGAGGGAGUGUUUUGCAUUAAAAAUCCUUUUGAGCCGAUGUAAGUUUGAGAAGAGGAGGGGGAAAAAAGUCUGUCUUUAAUAAUGCAAAAUGUGAGACGGCACAGAGCAAUAUACAUUUUUAAUUACUAAAGUGACUAAUAUCUAGGUUUGGCUUUGAGGUUUUUGUUCCAUAAAAUAUGCAUUUGUAUUUUGUUCCCUGCAGCCGAGUUGGAUACACAUACCUGAGCAGAGCUGCAGGCUUUUAGUACUGAGGAGGAAGUUUAAUAACAUGAUAUGUUCAGGUACUACAUGCAAAUAAGUAAAUGUGAAUUUUAUGAAGGGUAAAAGUAAGCCAUGCAUACCUAAAUAACUGUCAGGUUGCCGAAACGUGUCCUAAUAACAGCCUUACUGAAAGAGAGCUGUACAUUUCAUGGCGGAUACUUAUGGUU